AUGUCUUCCAAUAAUGUCGAAGUUUUUAUCCCAAUGUCACAAGGAAACACCAAUGGCUUACCCAAGGUGACCUCAAAGACCUGAAAGCAUUUACUGAAAGAGCUGUGCUUUCAUAACAUCUGUUAUCAAGAAAAAGUGAAGAGCAGCUUUCUACAUGGUCAAAAACCAGUUGAGAAAGAAAUACAAUUGAAUAUCAAUGGGAUCGUGAAACCUGGCCUCAAUGCCAUUCUGGGACCCGCAAGUGGAGGCAUUAUUAGAUGUCUUAGUUUCAAGGAAAGACCCACAUGUAUUAUCUGGAGAUGUUCUGAUAAACACAGCACCUCAACCUGCCAAUUUCAAAUGUAAUUCAGGUUACAUGGUACAGGAUGAUGUCAUGAUGAGUACCCCAACAGUGAGAGAACAUUUACAGUUCUCAGAAGCUCUUCAGCUUCCAACAACUGUGAUGAAUUGUGAAAAAAAAAUGAAUAGAUAAAUAUGGUCAUUCAAGAGUUAGGUCUGGAUAAAGCAGCAGAUUUCAAGGUUAGAAUUCAAUUCAUCUGCAGUGUGUCAGAAGGAAAAAGAAACAGGACUAAUAUAGGAAUGGAGCCUAUUACUGAUCCUCUCAUCUUGUUCCUGGAUGAGCCCACAACUGGACUGGACUCAAGCACAGCAAAUGCUGACCUUUUUGCUCCUGAAAAGGAUGUCUAAGUAGGGACGAACAAUCAUCUUCUUCCCAUUCACCAGCCUUGGUAUUCCAUCUUCAAGUUGUUUGAUAGCCUCACCUUAAUGGCCUCACAAAGAGGAAUGUUCCAUGGGCCUGCUUAAGAGGGCUUGGGGUACUUUGCAUCAACUGGUUACCACUGUGAGUUCAAUAAUAACCCUGCAGACUUCUUCCUGGGUGUCAUUAAUGGAGAUUCACUGCUGUGGUAUUAAACAGAGAGGAAGAAGACUGAAGCCACGGAGACUGUAGAGACCGCUAAGAGAGAUAAGUCACUCACAGAAAAAUUAGCUGAGUUUUAUGUCAACUCCUCCUUCAACAGAGAAACAAAAGCUGAAUUAGAUCAACUCUCAGAGGGUAAGAAAAAGAAGAGGAUCUCAGCUUUCAAGAUCACCUAAUGCCACUUCAUUCUCUCAGAUGGGUUUCCAUGCAUUUAUUCAAAAACCUGCUGGGUAAAUCCCAGGCCUCUAUAGCUCAGGUAAUUGUCACAACCAUACUGAGGCUGAUUAUAGGUGCCAUUUACUUUGGGCUAAAAAAUGAUUCUACUGAAAUCCCGAAUAGAGCCAGGGUUGUCUUCUUGACCACCAGCUGGUGUUUCAGCAGUGUGUCGGUCAUAGAGCUCUUUGUGCUAGAGAAGAUCUUUAUACACAAAUAUAUUAGUGGAUACUACAGAGUGUCAUCUUAUUUCUUUGGAAAACUGUUAUCUAAUUUACUACCAGGAAGAUGUUACCAAGCAUUAUAUUUACCUCUAUAAUAAUACGUGCAUUAUAAAAAUAAUGCUGUAUAAUAAUCCUAAUCUUGUUAGGAUUAAAGACAAAGGUGGACACCUUCAUCAUCAUGAUGUUUUCCCUCAUGAUGGUGACUUAUUUAGCACUGGCCAUAGCAGCAGGUCAGUGUGGUUUCCAUAGCAAUGCUUCUCCUGACCAUCUCUUUUGUAUUUAUAAUGGUUUUUUCAGGUCUAUUAGUAAAUCUCGCAACCAUUGCAUCUUGGCUGUUAUGGUUUAAGUACUUCAGCAUUCCAGUUUUACAGCUUUGCUGCCUAACGAAUUUUUGGAACAAAACUUCUGCCCAGGACUCCGUGAAAUAGUAAACAAUACUGUGGCUCCCCAAUAUGUACUGGCAAGGAAUAUUUGAUAAACCAGCCAUCAAUGUCUUACCCUGGGGCUUGUGGAAGAAUCAUAUAACCGUGGCUUGUAUGGUUAUCUUCCUGAUUUGCCUACCUAAAAUUGUUAUUUCUUUUAAAAUAUUCU
Molecule: long non-coding RNA, 1947 nt
Filed under: Homo sapiens (human)
Lineage: Eukaryota; Metazoa; Chordata; Mammalia; Primates; Hominidae
Description: long non-coding RNA NONHSAT046910.2
Source: RNAcentral